This is a long non-coding RNA of Stegodyphus dumicola, 625 nucleotides long. The record is from RefSeq and is a predicted model, not a curated record. NCBI's taxonomy places the organism in Eukaryota, Metazoa, Arthropoda, Arachnida, Araneae, Eresidae.
AGCGAUAAAAAUUUUUAACAAACCCUUAUAGGCGACCUUUAAAAGUUGAAACCUUUCAGAUUUAAUUUUUAUUUAUUUAUUUUAUUAUAAUUUUUUGUAAUUUUCGUUACUGUUUCUGCCGACGGAUGGCGCUACCUUCUCGUUAGCUUUACUCUUUUUGGCUAUAAAUUCAACCGUGACUUUUCCUUCGUUACAGAUCUCUUUGCUUUUGAUGAAGAGGGACCUGUUGCCCUGGAAAUCGAUAGAUUCUUGACUAAAAGCUACAGCAAACGCAAGGCUUUGUCUGACUUACGGCAAAAAUCAAAAAAAGAUGUGUUAGAAGAUACUACAUUCUGGCAUCAGGAGAUCAAAAAAGUAAAGGAGGAAAACGAUCAGGCAUGGCAACAACGGUUGAAUCGCUUGCAAGAAAGGCUUCUUUCUCAAGAAGAAGAACUCCGGCAAGUACAAAAUGAAAAUGAAGAACUUCAAAGGCGACUUGAGACGCAGUCAUCCCCCACUUGUUGCUGUAAGGGAGAUAUUGUUUCAGAUGGCAAUGUGCGUCUUGAUUCUGCUUUUGAAGAUGAUGAAGAAUGCCUCAAUUACAAACCUUCCACUCCUGUAAGUUCACAUAAAAAAAUAAAAAAAA